RNAcentral lists this long non-coding RNA (275 nucleotides) under Zostera marina. RNAcentral describes it as "long non-coding RNA (ZMAR_LNC000147)". Lineage: Eukaryota; Viridiplantae; Streptophyta; Magnoliopsida; Alismatales; Zosteraceae. The record is from RNAcentral.
AUGAAUAUAAAAUCUAAAUCAAUAUUAUUACAAUAGAUAUAAAAAACGAAAAUCAUUUACAAAAUCAAAAUUCAAAAUUUUAAACAAACCCAUUAAAAAAAAUAUACCAAAAACUCACCUAAACGGACCGGCGAAGAGAUCGACGAGAGCAGAGACGGACGAGGCGGCAACCGGAGGUGACUCUGGAACCGGAGGCGUCGAAGUCCAGCGGCGCGAGUCGGCAGUUGGAGGAACGCUUGGAAGGUCGGCGGCGACAGUGGGAGGAAAGGAACGCG